This 28-nucleotide non-coding RNA is filed under the name Mus musculus (house mouse). Lineage: Eukaryota; Metazoa; Chordata; Mammalia; Rodentia; Muridae. The record is from RNAcentral.
UCCUUUGGUGGAAUUUGGAAACCUAACA